UUCAAGAGAGAGAGAAGGAAAGUGAGAGCUACAAAAAAAAAAAAAAAAAAAAAAAAAAAAGGCCAUUCGGCCGUGUGAGAGAAAAAAAAAAUUGUUGGAGCUCAAAUCUUUGGUUCAAAAUUCAUCUCUUUUGAAUUCCUAUUAAGCCCGGAACCCUCUUCAAUGUGAUACAAAUUUGGAGAUAUUGGAGAGCCCGAGACUUGAGUCGGGAUUUGUUUGGCGAGUGAUCGAGAUUUGGUAGUGAGCGAUCGAGGUACGGACGUUAGUUUUGGUGAUCCUCCAGUAUAGGAUACAUAUUCUGCCACUUGGAUUACUCCCCUUGAUCCGGAGCUCAUAUUUUUGGUACAUAUCUUCUGUUAUACAUAUUCUGUAUAUAUGACUAUUUGGGUACGGCGGGGCCCUGUCCCGUCAUAUGUUUCUGUUAUGUUUUGUAGAGGCCUGUAGUCAUAUAUGUGGGUCAUGGGUCAUGUUUGUUCGUUUGUGAUUAUGAUCUGCGUCUUAAUGCGGCCCCGUUUACUAUUAUGGCCACAACGGCCCCUCUGUUUGUAUAUGUGUGUAUAAUCUGGGCGAUGUCUAUUCCGCCAGCCUACAGGAUUUGAUAUGAUGACUCUGUACGGGCGACCGCUUAAGACGAUAUUUGCUUCCAGUAUCUGCUUAAAUUAAUGUAUGUUAAGUUUGACUAAGUCCUUGAUAUGUCGAUCUGGUACGUAAGUCUGUUUGGGUGUCCAAAUAGGGCACCAGUCGCGGCCCACGGGGCUGGGUCGUGACACGGAUAGUCAUUUUAGGGGUUGAAAAGGUACCCGAAGUAAGUUUUGUUUGGAAACUUUAGGGUGUUUUAUUUUUUAAGAUUUUGAUUUAAGCGUGUAAUUUUUUAAUCAAGACAUAACUUUAUUUUGAAUAUAAAUAUAAUUCUAAAAAAUAUAGGGAGAAAAUCUAGUUGUAAAGUGGUCAAACUUUAGAUGGUCAUAACUUUGCGCUCGGAUGUUCGAUUUACGCGAUUUUUUUUUUUUUUGGGUAUUUUUUCGAGAUCUAUGCGGACCGAUUUUAAAAAAAAACACCUUUUAUCCCAUUCAAUUUUAAUUUUCCCCCAAAUUGGCGUGAAAUUUUCAGUUUUAUUUACUUAUAAUAUGAUGAUACGCAAUAGAUUUCAACGUAAAAAUCCCGGGGUAAUGUAGCUGUGAAUGUCAAUUUCACUUCUGUGGUUUCAAUUUUUGAAAAUAAAGCUGACUAAUUUCUCGACAUAUAAAGUUGACUAAAAUAACCUUACAGUCAAACACUAAGUUUUUUCAAACAAAACUUACUUCGGGCACCUUUUCAACCCCUAAAAUGACGAUCCGAACGUCUACGUAUCCUUGAUGUA
Molecule: long non-coding RNA, 1360 nt
Organism: Lycium barbarum (goji berry)
Lineage: Eukaryota; Viridiplantae; Streptophyta; Magnoliopsida; Solanales; Solanaceae
Exons: 3
Source: RefSeq, a predicted model, not a curated record